Molecule: long non-coding RNA, 279 nt
Organism: Ornithodoros turicata
Lineage: Eukaryota; Metazoa; Arthropoda; Arachnida; Ixodida; Argasidae
Exons: 2
Source: RefSeq, a predicted model, not a curated record
GAAGAAUUGGACACCACAGGUACUGCGUACAAAAGCGAGCGUGGGAUAAUCCGCAGAUGAUGGCGACGAAAUGUUGGCUGUGCUGAGGUUCACUCCACGGGAGAAUUGUCUCAAAUUGAGGGGAGGGGCUUCAUGCCUAUAACAUGAGGUCCGAAAAAAAAACGAAGUUCAAAAUUUGGAGGAGCAUCGCUUGCACUAUUCCAAAUUGGGAGGGGCGCGAAUUCAUGGCAAACAUGAAUUUUGAUUAGACUUAAUGGGGAAGAUUUGGGGGGGGGGGGG